GGGUGUAUAGCUCAGUGGUGGAGCCUGUGUUUAGCAGGCAUGAGGCCCUGGGUUCAAUCCCCAGUACCUCCA
This 72-nucleotide transfer RNA is filed under the name Camelus dromedarius (Arabian camel). It matches the Rfam family "tRNA". Rfam says of the family: Transfer RNA (tRNA) molecules are approximately 80 nucleotides in length. Their secondary structure includes four short double-helical elements and three loops (D, anti-codon, and T loops). Lineage: Eukaryota; Metazoa; Chordata; Mammalia; Artiodactyla; Camelidae. RNAcentral also lists the same sequence under 1 other name. The record is from Rfam by way of RNAcentral.